GCGUUGUUAGCUCAGCCGGACAGAGCAAUUGCCUUCUAAGCAAUCGGUCACUG
Molecule: transfer RNA, 53 nt
Filed under: Escherichia coli EC4436
Lineage: Bacteria; Pseudomonadati; Pseudomonadota; Gammaproteobacteria; Enterobacterales; Enterobacteriaceae
Description: partial tRNA-OTHER
Rfam family: tRNA
About the family: Transfer RNA (tRNA) molecules are approximately 80 nucleotides in length. Their secondary structure includes four short double-helical elements and three loops (D, anti-codon, and T loops).
Source: RNAcentral